Molecule: ribosomal RNA, 1438 nt
Filed under: Lactiplantibacillus plantarum
Lineage: Bacteria; Bacillati; Bacillota; Bacilli; Lactobacillales; Lactobacillaceae
Description: bacterial SSU rRNA
Rfam family: Bacterial small subunit ribosomal RNA
Source: RNAcentral
UGGCAAGUCGAACGAACUCUGGGUAUUGAUUGGUGCUUGCAUCAUGAUUUACAUUUGAGUGAGUGGCGAACUGGUGAGUAACACGUGGGAAACCUGCCCAGAAGCGGGGGAUAACACCUGGAAACAGAUGCUAAUACCGCAUAACAACUUGGACCGCAUGGUCCGAGUUUGAAAGAUGGCUUCGGCUAUCACUUUUGGAUGGUCCCGCGGCGUAUUAGCUAGAUGGUGGGGUAACGGCUCACCAUGGCAAUGAUACGUAGCCGACCUGAGAGGGUAAUCGGCCACAUUGGGACUGAGACACGGCCCAAACUCCUACGGGAGGCAGCAGUAGGGAAUCUUCCACAAUGGACGAAAGUCUGAUGGAGCAACGCCGCGUGAGUGAAGAAGGGUUUCGGCUCGUAAAACUCUGUUGUUAAAGAAGAACAUAUCUGAGAGUAACUGUUCAGGUAUUGACGGUAUUUAACCAGAAAGCCACGGCUAACUACGUGCCAGCAGCCGCGGUAAUACGUAGGUGGCAAGCGUUGUCCGGAUUUAUUGGGCGUAAAGCGAGCGCAGGCGGUUUUUUAAGUCUGAUGUGAAAGCCUUCGGCUCAACCGAAGAAGUGCAUCGGAAACUGGGAAACUUGAGUGCAGAAGAGGACAGUGGAACUCCAUGUGUAGCGGUGAAAUGCGUAGAUAUAUGGAAGAACACCAGUGGCGAAGGCGGCUGUCUGGUCUGUAACUGACGCUGAGGCUCGAAAGUAUGGGUAGCAAACAGGAUUAGAUACCCUGGUAGUCCAUACCGUAAACGAUGAAUGCUAAGUGUUGGAGGGUUUCCGCCCUUCAGUGCUGCAGCUAACGCAUUAAGCAUUCCGCCUGGGGAGUACGGCCGCAAGGCUGAAACUCAAAGGAAUUGACGGGGGCCCGCACAAGCGGUGGAGCAUGUGGUUUAAUUCGAAGCUACGCGAAGAACCUUACCAGGUCUUGACAUACUAUGCAAAUCUAAGAGAUUAGACGUUCCCUUCGGGGACAUGGAUACAGGUGGUGCAUGGUUGUCGUCAGCUCGUGUCGUGAGAUGUUGGGUUAAGUCCCGCAACGAGCGCAACCCUUAUUAUCAGUUGCCAGCAUUAAGUUGGGCACUCUGGUGAGACUGCCGGUGACAAACCGGAGGAAGGUGGGGAUGACGUCAAAUCAUCAUGCCCCUUAUGACCUGGGCUACACACGUGCUACAAUGGAUGGUACAACGAGUUGCGAACUCGCGAGAGUAAGCUAAUCUCUUAAAGCCAUUCUCAGUUCGGAUUGUAGGCUGCAACUCGCCUACAUGAAGUCGGAAUCGCUAGUAAUCGCGGAUCAGCAUGCCGCGGUGAAUACGUUCCCGGGCCUUGUACACACCGCCCGUCACACCAUGAGAGUUUGUAACACCCAAAGUCGGUGGGGUAACCUUUUAGGAACCCAGCCGG